GUAGGUGGCAAGCGUUGUCCGGAAUUAUUGGGCGUAAAGCGCGCGCAGGGCGGUCCUUUAAGUCUGAUGUGAAAGCCCACGGCUCAACCGUGGAGGGUCAUUGGAAACUGGGGGACUUGAGUACAGAAGAGGAAAGCGGAAUUCCAAGUGUAGCGGUGAAAUGCGUAGAGAUUUGGAGGAACACCAGUGGCGAAGGCGGCUUUCUGGUCUGUAACUGACGCUGAGGCGCGAAAGCGUGGGGAGCAAACAGGAUUAGAUACCCUGGUAGUCCACGCCGUAAACGAUGAGUGCUAAGUGUUAGGGGGUUUCCGCCCCUUAGCGCUGCAGCUAACGCAUUAAGCACUCCGCCUGGGGAGUACGGCCGCAAGGCUG
Molecule: ribosomal RNA, 372 nt
Filed under: uncultured organism
Description: partial 16S ribosomal RNA
Rfam family: Bacterial small subunit ribosomal RNA
Source: RNAcentral